Molecule: ribosomal RNA, 483 nt
Filed under: uncultured bacterium
Lineage: Bacteria
Description: partial 16S ribosomal RNA
Rfam family: Bacterial small subunit ribosomal RNA
Source: RNAcentral
AUUGAACGCUGGCGGCAGGCCUAACACAUGCAAGUCGAGCGGAUGAAGGGAGCUUGCUCCUGGAUUCAGCGGCGGACGGGUGAGUAAUGCCUAGGAAUCUGCCUGUAGUGGGGGAUAACGUCCGGAAACGGGCGCUAAUACCGCAUACGUCCUGAGGGAGAAAGUGGGGGAUCCUCGGACCUCACGCUAUCAGAUGAGCCUAGGUCGGAUUAGCUAGUUGGUGGGGUAAAGGCCUACCAAGGCGACGAUCCGUAACUGGUCUGAGAGGAUGAUCAGUCACACUGGAACUGAGACACGGUCCAGACUCCUACGGGAGGCAGCAGUGGGGUAUAUUGGACAAUGGGCGAAAGCCUGAUCCAGCCAUGCCGCGUGUGUGAAGAAGGUCUUCGGAUUGUAAAGCACUUUAAGUUGGGAGGAAGGGCAGUAAGUUAAUACCUUGCUGUUUUGACGUUACCAACAGAAUAAGCACCGGCUAACUUCGUG